CCGCACUGAGCAAGGACGUCGCUCGCCCUGGCUGUCCUCCUCAACCCCCUUUUCUUCACAAGUGGACGAUACAUUUGUUAUUUUAAAAAAUCUCAAUCUAAAUAUUUUUAAAAGUUUAAUGUUUUGCGUAACGGAUGUAGUCCUAAAUGUCAAAAAAAACCCCACGAAUUUUCCUUGCAGUCCUUACGAACGUGAUGGAAAGCCCUCCGCGUGGUGGCAUUUGGAACCUUUAGAGCUCUGGGCAGGAGGUGGUCACAAAAUCUCACCCCGGCCCGGCGCGGUGGCUCACGCCUGUAAUCCUAGCUCUCUGGGAGGCCGAGGCUGGAGGAUUGCUCAAGGGAGAGGCAGAGUCCCCAACGAGCCUGUGACAUCGUAGGAAGGGAUCCAGUCAUCAGGUUUCUAAGAGGGAUUUGCUUAUUGGAGAUUCAUGGUUGUCAGAGGAAACUCCCUGUCUGUAACUUGAGCGCUCCGCGGCCACAGAGUGGACGGUGACCGGGACUAGCAGGCGCUCUAGUUUCUUCACCUUAAAAAAGGAGAAUGAAAAUAUUUCCUCCUCAGAGACACCCGGCCCGCAGCGUCUGUCUCAGUACUCGCCUCCCAUGCCCGCCCGGGGCUGUGCUGUUGAAGCUGGUAUCCCUGGAAACCAGCAGAAGGUCAGGAACACAGUGGGUCUUCAGCAGAUGUUUGCGGAAUGAAUACAUUUUUUAAAAAAUCAAUGUUUUUCAGAAAAUAACAAGCAUUGGUGAGGAUGUGGAGAAAUCGGCCCCCUUGUGUGCUGCUGGAAUGUAAACGGUGCCGCUGCUGUGGCAAACACUGUGCGCUCCCAUAAAAAGUUAACUAGAGCCCAUGUGACCCAGCAAUCUCGCCUCUGGUAUAUACCCAGAAGAAUUGAAAUCAGCGCCCAAGCCCCGUUUGCCCACCCAUGCUCACAACAGCAUCAUCACACUGCAAAUGUGGAAGCAACCCACGUACAAUGACAGCUGAAUAGAUAAACAAAAUGUGGUCUGUCCACACAAUGGAAUAUU
Molecule: non-coding RNA, 1025 nt
Organism: Microcebus murinus (gray mouse lemur)
Lineage: Eukaryota; Metazoa; Chordata; Mammalia; Primates; Cheirogaleidae
Source: RefSeq, a predicted model, not a curated record